Octopus sinensis (East Asian common octopus) is the source of this 910-nucleotide long non-coding RNA. RefSeq lists it as uncharacterized. NCBI's taxonomy places the organism in Eukaryota, Metazoa, Mollusca, Cephalopoda, Octopoda, Octopodidae. The transcript is spliced from 3 exons. The record is from RefSeq and is a predicted model, not a curated record.
GCGUGUGUAUGCGUGUGUGUGUGUGGUGUGUGUGUGUACGUCUGUGUUUGCGUGUAGGCAUAUAUAUACAUGUGUGUCUGUAUUUAUGCUGACAUCAGGGUAACAACCACUGUCGUUUCUCCCCCCCCCCCCAUCUCCACCCGUUAUGUCUCGUUAGCGAGUUCGACAAAUAGAAAACGGUAAACCAGAGUACUGAGGUCGAGAUGACCGACGGAACCCGUGGAAGGGAUGCGAUGCACCAGCAUGGCCGCAGUCUAUAAACCCAGCUGAAGAAUAAAAGAUUACAAGCGGAAAGAACCAGUUUCUAAUCCAGGACCAAGGUCCUUUCAUUGGAAUUUGGAAAUUAUCAGGGUAUCCAAAAACGCUCUUCCUCGCCAAGCAGCUUGGUGGGGUUGCAGGUUUUCUUACCGAUACAUGACUAAUCAGAUCUGAAGACAAACGCACAUAUAUGCACAUUCGUAAGCAUGUGCAUACGAAGCGUUUAGAGUGGAGUAAAAACCUACAGAAUCGGUCCCUAGAGCAGUGGAAGAAUGUUAUUUUCUCGGGCGAGUCAUUCUUUACCUUAUUUCCGACCACCGGCUAAGUAUACGAGUGGAGACAACCAAAAGAAGCAUUUGAUCCAGACAGCCUUCUUCAAAUUCUUAAAAAUGGAGGAGGAUCUAUGAUAAUCAGGGCAGGGCUAUAUCUUGGAAAUCCACCGGCCCAAUGGCUUCCCUUCGUGGCAGAAUUAAUAGUCCAAACUAGUUAAGCAUUCUAUCCUGAUCAAAUUCCACCUAUUAUUGCGGAAGUGUUUCUGGAUGGAAACACAAUCUUUCAGGAUGAUAAUGCACCAAUUCACACAGCUAAAAUUGUUACUGAAUGGCACGAGAUACAUUCUAGUGGAGUUGAACAUCUUAUCUGGCCACCACAG